GUUGGGCACUCUAAGUUGACUGCCGGUGACAAACCGGAGGAAGGUGGGGAUGACGUCAAAUCAUCAUGCCCCUUAUGAUUUGGGCUACACACGUGCUACAAUGGACAAUACAAAGGGUAGCAAAACCGCGAGGUCAAGCAAAUCCCAUAAAGUUGUUCUCAGUUCGGAUUGUAGUCUGCAACUCGACUACAUGAAGCUGGAAUCGCUAGUAAUCGUAGAUCAGCAUGCUACGGUGAAUACGUUCCCGGGUCUUGUACACACCGCCCGUCACACCACGAGAGUUUGUAACACCCGAAGCCGGUGGAGUAACCUUUUGGAGCUAGCCGUCGAAGGUGGGACAAAUGAUUGGGGUGAAGUCGUAACAAGGUAGCCGUAUCGGAAGGUGCGGCUGGAUCACCUCCUUU
This 404-nucleotide ribosomal RNA is filed under the name Staphylococcus capitis. RNAcentral's name for it is "bacterial SSU rRNA". It matches the Rfam family "Bacterial small subunit ribosomal RNA", at positions 1130 to 1533 of the family's 1533-position model. Lineage: Bacteria; Bacillati; Bacillota; Bacilli; Caryophanales; Staphylococcaceae. The record is from RNAcentral.